RNAcentral lists this ribosomal RNA (1264 nucleotides) under Staphylococcus aureus. RNAcentral describes it as "bacterial SSU rRNA". It matches the Rfam family "Bacterial small subunit ribosomal RNA", at positions 1 to 1246 of the family's 1533-position model. The record is from RNAcentral. Lineage: Bacteria; Bacillati; Bacillota; Bacilli; Caryophanales; Staphylococcaceae.
UUUAUGGAGAGUUUGAUCCUGGCUCAGGAUGAACGCUGGCGGCGUGCCUAAUACAUGCAAGUCGAGCGAACGGACGAGAAGCUUGCUUCUCUGAUGUUAGCGGCGGACGGGUGAGUAACACGUGGAUAACCUACCUAUAAGACUGGGAUAACUUCGGGAAACCGGAGCUAAUACCGGAUAAUAUUUUGAACCGCAUGGUUCAAAAGUGAAAGACGGUCUUGCUGUCACUUAUAGAUGGAUCCGCGCUGCAUUAGCUAGUUGGUAAGGUAACGGCUUACCAAGGCAACGAUGCAUAGCCGACCUGAGAGGGUGAUCGGCCACACUGGAACUGAGACACGGUCCAGACUCCUACGGGAGGCAGCAGUAGGGAAUCUUCCGCAAUGGGCGAAAGCCUGACGGAGCAACGCCGCGUGAGUGAUGAAGGUCUUCGGAUCGUAAAACUCUGUUAUUAGGGAAGAACAUAUGUGUAAGUAACUGUGCACAUCUUGACGGUACCUAAUCAGAAAGCCACGGCUAACUACGUGCCAGCAGCCGCGGUAAUACGUAGGUGGCAAGCGUUAUCCGGAAUUAUUGGGCGUAAAGCGCGCGUAGGCGGUUUUUUAAGUCUGAUGUGAAAGCCCACGGCUCAACCGUGGAGGGUCAUUGGAAACUGGAAAACUUGAGUGCAGAAGAGGAAAGUGGAAUUCCAUGUGUAGCGGUGAAAUGCGCAGAGAUAUGGAGGAACACCAGUGGCGAAGGCGACUUUCUGGUCUGUAACUGACGCUGAUGUGCGAAAGCGUGGGGAUCAAACAGGAUUAGAUACCCUGGUAGUCCACGCCGUAAACGAUGAGUGCUAAGUGUUAGGGGGUUUCCGCCCCUUAGUGCUGCAGCUAACGCAUUAAGCACUCCGCCUGGGGAGUACGACCGCAAGGUUGAAACUCAAAGGAAUUGACGGGGACCCGCACAAGCGGUGGAGCAUGUGGUUUAAUUCGAAGCAACGCGAAGAACCUUACCAAAUCUUGACAUCCUUUGACAACUCUAGAGAUAGAGCCUUCCCCUUCGGGGGACAAAGUGACAGGUGGUGCAUGGUUGUCGUCAGCUCGUGUCGUGAGAUGUUGGGUUAAGUCCCGCAACGAGCGCAACCCUUAAGCUUAGUUGCCAUCAUUAAGUUGGGCACUCUAAGUUGACUGCCGGUGACAAACCGGAGGAAGGUGGGGAUGACGUCAAAUCAUCAUGCCCCUUAUGAUUUGGGCUACACACGUGCUACAAUGGACAAUACAAAGGG